AUUGAACGCUGGCGGCAUGCCUUACACAUGCAAGUCGAACGGCAGCACGGGGCAACCUGGUGGCGAGUGGCGAACGGGUGAGUAAUGCAUCGGAACGUGCCAUUGAGUGGGGGAUAACGUAGCGAAAGUUGCGCUAAUACCGCAUAUUCUGUGAGCAGGAAAGAGGGGGAUCGCAAGACCUCUUGCUUUAGGAGCGGCCGAUGUCGGAUUAGCUAGUUGGUGAGGUAAAGGCUCACCAAGGCGACGAUCCGUAGCGGGUCUGAGAGGAUGAUCCGCCACACUGGGACUGAGACACGGCCCAGACUCCUACGGGAGGCAGCAGUGGGGAAUUUUGGACAAUGGGCGCAAGCCUGAUCCAGCCAUGCCGCGUGAGUGAAGAAGGCCUUCGGUUGUAAGCUCUGUCAGCUGGAACGAAAAAACUAGACGGUACCAGCAGA
RNAcentral lists this ribosomal RNA (437 nucleotides) under uncultured bacterium. RNAcentral describes it as "bacterial SSU rRNA". It matches the Rfam family "Bacterial small subunit ribosomal RNA", at positions 30 to 485 of the family's 1533-position model. The record is from RNAcentral.